RNAcentral lists this transfer RNA (64 nucleotides) under Pisidia serratifrons. Its description in RNAcentral is "tRNA-Phe". The record is from RNAcentral. Lineage: Eukaryota; Metazoa; Arthropoda; Malacostraca; Decapoda; Porcellanidae.
AUUUUCAUAAUUUAUAGAGAAUAUUACACUGAAGAUGUAAAAGAGAUAAUUUUAUCUGAAAAUA